Varanus komodoensis (Komodo dragon) is the source of this 2426-nucleotide long non-coding RNA. RefSeq lists it as uncharacterized. The record is from RefSeq and is a predicted model, not a curated record. NCBI's taxonomy places the organism in Eukaryota, Metazoa, Chordata, Lepidosauria, Squamata, Varanidae. The transcript is spliced from 3 exons.
CCGUCCUUCCAUGUGGCUCCCCGAUUCACAGAUUCCCUGCUGUGCUGUGCGUUUCAGGGAGAGCUUCACUCAUCCACCACAUCCUCUGGCUGCAGCUAGCUAUUCAGAUGCAGUCCUUUUAGGCACUCAUAGCAGGACAGGAGAGGGCCAGCAAGGCAGAGCAGAUGGUGCAUUCUUAUCCCUAUCCAGCAGGCAAUUCUGCUGUGUUCCAAGUUCACACAGGUCCAUUAUGCACAGCAUUCGCUCCUUAGCUGGCCAGAGCCUUCAGCUGAUCUGAUUCCCCACUGCUGCUGUGGUGGAAGUCAAUGCAGCUGGCUUGGCUUCCGUUCCUUGAAAAGCUCUCCUUGUGUUCUGGAGAUGUUGACAGACAGACAGACAGUUCAGAGACAGAGCAUUCUCAGGAGGGAUGUGGUCACCCACACAUACAGCCGUGUGGGAUUCAGGUGGCAAAAGGAGAUGCCCGGUUAAGCUAUGUCAGCAGAGGAUCCCCACGCCCAUAAUGGCAAGAGAUUGGUUCGCCCUUUCCCAUUCUGUUACCCUCCAGAUGGGUUGGACUACGAGUCCCAGCAUUCCCCAGCCAGCACAAGACACAACUGCAAAUGUCUUCUCCUUUGCAUCCUCAAAGUGCCUAAUACCCAAGACCAGCCAAGUUAUUUUGACAUUUGAGGUAGAAAAUCCCACAAGUGCCUCUCUCCUUCAUCGGCAGUAAAAAUAUAACAUUAAAAAACCAAAUCCAUUGCAGUUGGCUGCCCUUUACUACACCCACAAUGCCUGCUCUGAUAGUUAGGGCUGACCCAACCUUGAGAGAAAAUGCUUGGGACUCUGUGUCUGACUGGUCUUGUUUUGUUUUUAAAGCAUGUAUUUUCAGAUGCUUGGGAGCAAAGAUCAGUGUGAACAUACAUGAAGGCAUCACAUGCUCAUGGGCUGAGAACAAAGCAGGAUGGACUUCGUUGAAAAAUAGAGUACACUUCAUACAGUAUGCAAAGUUUCUCUCCAGGAGAACUUCCUGACCGAAAUCAGAACAGUUCCUGAAAUCUUCAACUGUUUGGAACACCAUUGUCUAUUUUCUGUUCCUUUAAAAUGGGUGUGACAAUCAGAAAUUCAAGAAGCGUCUCCCAGCAUGGUGAAUCAUGGUGGUGGAGAUACUUGUACUUGGUGGUUUUCUGCUUCACCUCUGCCUCUUAAAGGUACAGGUCUUCAGCCAAAAGAAGGGUGGUGAUCUGAGGUGUAAGAGGUUUGAUGGCGCUUGAAAUAUCCCCACUAGUUGAUUUUUAACACAACAGUGGGAACCUGUGGCCCUCAGUGUUAAUGAAUGACUACUUUUUUGGCCAUGCUUCAACAGUUGGAUGAUUUGGAGCAAUUAGCAAGUGUAGUCAUGUUUUCUCUUUGCUGUGAAACACUUGACUCACUCAUUUCUGCACUCUGUUAAAGGCACAAGAGCAGGCCAGACAUCUCCACCCUGAACUUGGCUAUCAGAAGCCGGAAUGCACUAUUACCGCCGGUACAUUCCUAUCCCACAAGGAAUCCUGCCUGCAUUUUUCCGAGGGCAUAUCAGUGUUCUGGGAAACCUGGGUUCCCAUCUAAGGAAGAGGGUUUGGCUGCUUCAGCUCCUAAGACAGUUUUCCCCAGCCUGGCAUCUUCCAUGUUGACUGGACUACAAAUCCCAUAAUCCCCCAGCCAGCUAUAUUGCCUGUAGGGACCACUCUGCCAUUCCACAGCCUUGAGGUCGCGGGAAAAAAGGCACAAAGAAGAAGGCGACUCACCAAGUGAGUGGAGAUGGCACUGCAAGCUGUGAGCAAAGGGGACCUGGAGCGCGAAGAAGGCAGGGAGGACGCUAUCCGGGAGCCAAGACACAGAGGCACUUCGGUCUGCUUCUGCCAGCUUCUCUCCUGUUCUGCAUUCCCUCAGAUCUUUGGGAAGGAUAAAAACCCUUCUCCCCACUCAUUCACUCCGGCCAUCCUUUGUUGGGCCACAGGCCCCCUGGUGGCCGAACGACAAUGGCUACCAGUGGCUACGGAAAAGAUCAAAACCGCGGCGUUACUGGAGCUAGUCGGAACAGGCUGAAUGGUAGAAAGCAGCCACCAGCCUCAGUAAUAGACCCCGGUCGGUUUUGUUUCUUGGUGCAGUACAGCUGCGGGGAGCAAAGGAGGCUCGCUUUGGGGAGAAGCGGCACUGCGCCGAUUUCUUCAGCCAAACGAACAACAGGCAAAUUCAUCACAGGCCGCUGUGCAGGACCUGCUGAUGCCAACAUGCUCAGACAGCAUGCACUGCUGUUUAAGAAGUCUCUCCUUGCUUUUGCGUGAUUUUAUUAUAUUUCAUUGGUUGCACCCUGUUUCAAGGAUAAUUUUGUAAAUGAAAAGCAGGCCAUGUACUUAUUAAUAAAAUGCUUGAGCUAAUGAAGAAAUUAAAGCACAAAUGUAUGUGGA